GCCCAGGUGGCGAAAUUGGUAGACGCGCAUCCUUGAGGGGGAUGUGUCCUUCGGGACGUGCUGGUUCAACUCCAGUCCUGGGCACCA
This 87-nucleotide transfer RNA is filed under the name Candidatus Kaiserbacteria bacterium. RNAcentral describes it as "tRNA-Leu". It matches the Rfam family "tRNA". Rfam says of the family: Transfer RNA (tRNA) molecules are approximately 80 nucleotides in length. Their secondary structure includes four short double-helical elements and three loops (D, anti-codon, and T loops). Further hydrogen bonds mediate the characteristic L-shaped molecular structure. tRNAs have two regions of fundamental functional importance: the anti-codon, which is responsible for specific mRNA codon recognition, and the 3' end, to which the tRNAs corresponding amino acid is attached (by aminoacyl-tRNA synthetases). tRNAs cope with the degeneracy of the genetic code in two manners: having more than one tRNA (with a specific anti-codon) for a particular amino acid; and 'wobble' base-pairing, i.e. permitting non-standard base-pairing at the 3rd anti-codon position. The record is from RNAcentral. Lineage: Bacteria; Candidatus Kaiseribacteriota.